GUUUUGGCAGAGAAGUGACAGCGCUGUGAUAGAUGGGCCCGAUAGUUGUGUGUGUUGUGCUUGCUCGGAGUUAGUAGAAAAGAGGAGGGAGAGAGCGAGCGAGAGGGGGGAGAAAAAAAAAGACAGGGAAGGAGAGAGAGAGAGAGAGAUUGAGAGAGAGCGAGAGACUUGGCAAAGGAAAUCUUAUGGGUAUACUGAAACAGCAGAUCAGAAUUGUGAAACCAGAGCCAGGGCUGAAAUGUGAUGCUUUUGCUCUUUUGUGCUUGUUGUGGUUCUCAUCUUCCCAUGUAGAAGGCUGCAUACCAUUCAACAGAAUAUUUUGAUCGCAGAUUGAACAAUGCAGCAAUCAAGCCUGAUAAGCCACCUGGAAGUUUUGCUUGAGACGAUUUCUAAUGGGUUUUCUGAUCCCUCUGAGCAUCAUGACUGCCUUUAGCAUUGUGGAGGAGGACUCGAGUUUCUUAUGAGGGCCCCACUUGGAAAAGCAGGCUGUGCAGAUUCAAGCCUCCGGUUCUGUUCAUGCUGUUCAAAAGCCUUUCCUCACCCUUGCUGAUUUGUUUUUAUGAUUUACAUACACUCCUGUGGAGAUUUACAGAAUGGAUUGUCUGUGCAUUGUCACGACCAAGCAGAGCCAUGGCAGAUGCCCAUCCCACAAAUGCUCAGUCGAAACACCUGCCUGGAUACCCAUUCAGCACUCUACCGUAAGUUUGAGCCUUUUAAUCCAAAGCUUUGAGAGACUGAAUGGUAAGUCUCUGUGUUUGGAGCAGCCCUGUCAGGUAAAAUUUCAAUACUAAGCGCAUUUGAGAAAGAACAGAAACGAGUCCUGAUGCCAGACCAAACUCCGUGGGAAGCCUGAGCUGUUGAAAUGUUGGGUAUGGGCUUAGCAGGGCUUCUUCAAAAGUUCAUGCUCUUCCGAAAUUUAAUUCUUUCCACGUGGAGCAACGGGGCAGGCGUGGCAUAGUUGUUGGUGGUGUCCAUCUCAGGGGGAGCGUGGAGUUACUGCUGAUUGCUCCAACUGUGCUCCAGCUGCGUGUGAUGACUAGCAGCCUGCUAGUUUUGCCCUAUCAUGGGCACAGUUUGUGGGAAUUCAUUCAUAAGCUCCUGCAGGGUCUGCCAGAAAUAACUGAUGUUUAAAGCACCAGCCUGUCCCCAGGCUCAGGUGGUGACACAAGGAAAGGGGGAUGCAGCUUUUCUUUUCCAUG
This 1199-nucleotide long non-coding RNA is filed under the name Anser brachyrhynchus (Pink-footed goose). RNAcentral describes it as "lncRNA (ENSABRG00000005322.1)". Lineage: Eukaryota; Metazoa; Chordata; Aves; Anseriformes; Anatidae. The record is from RNAcentral.